Molecule: ribosomal RNA, 253 nt
Filed under: uncultured prokaryote
Description: partial 16S ribosomal RNA
Rfam family: Bacterial small subunit ribosomal RNA
Source: RNAcentral
UACGUAGGGUGCAAGCGUUAAUCGGAAUUACUGGGCGUAAAGCGUGCGCAGGCGGUUAUGCAAGACAGAUGUGAAAUCCCCGGGCUUAACCUGGGAACCGCAUUUGUGACUGCAUAGCUGGAGUACGGCAGAGGGGGAUGGUAUUCCGCGUGUAGCAGUGAAAUGCGUAGAGAUGUGGAGGAACACCGAUGGCGAAGGCAGCCCCCUGGGUCGACACUGACGCUCAUGCACGAAAGCGUGGGGAGCAAACAGG